This 500-nucleotide ribosomal RNA is filed under the name uncultured bacterium. RNAcentral describes it as "partial 16S ribosomal RNA". It matches the Rfam family "Bacterial small subunit ribosomal RNA", at positions 30 to 523 of the family's 1533-position model. The record is from RNAcentral.
AUUGAACGCUGGCGGAAUGCUUUACACAUGCAAGUCGAACGGCAGCACGGUCUUCGGUCUGGUGGCGAGUGGCGAACGGGUGAGUAAUGUAUCGGAACGUGCCCAGUCGUGGGGGAUAACGUAGUGAAAAUUACGCUAAUACCGCAUACGAUCUAUGGAUGAAAGCGGGGGAUCGCAAGACCUCGCGCGAUUGGAGCGGCGGAUAUCAGAUUAGGUAGUUGGUGGGGUAAAGGCCCACCAAGCCAACGAUCUGUAGCUGGUCUGAGAGGACGACCAGCCACACUGGAGCUGAGACACGGUCCAGACUCCUACGGGAGGCAGCAGUGGGGAAUUUUGGACAAUGGGCGAAAGCCUGAUCCAGCCAUUCCGCGUGCAGGAUGAAGGCCCUCGGGUUGUAAACUGCUUUUGUACAGAACGAAAAGGUUUCUACUAAUACUAGGAGCUCAUGACGGUACUGUAAGAAUAAGCACCGGCUAACUACGUGCCAGCCGCCGCUGUAA